Molecule: ribosomal RNA, 788 nt
Filed under: Hormogaster praetiosa
Lineage: Eukaryota; Metazoa; Annelida; Clitellata; Crassiclitellata; Hormogastridae
Description: partial 16S ribosomal RNA
Rfam family: Bacterial large subunit ribosomal RNA (bases 1-520)
Source: RNAcentral
UCCUGCCCAGUGACACAGUUCAACGGCCGCGGUAUCCUAACCGUGCAAAGGUAGCAUAAUCACUUGCCCAUUAAUUGUGGGCUAGAAUGAAAGGACUAACGAAAUAAAAGCUGUCUCCAUAAGUUAAAUAAAAAUUAAUCUCUAACUGAAGAGUGUUAGAUUCAGUCGAAGGACAAGAAGACCCUAUAGAGCUUCAUUUUAACAGAGACUAACCCCUCUACUAAGAUUCGGUUGGGGCGACCAAGGACAUUACAAUCAUCCUUCAUCAAAAGAUAAAUUAAUCCGAAAAAGACCCUUAAUCAAGAUCACAAAAACAAGCUACCUUAGGGAUAACAGGCUAAUCCCGCUAGAGAGUCCUUAUCAAUAGCGGGGGUUGGCACCUCGAUGUUGGCUUAGGGUAUCUAUGCAGCGCAAAAGUUGUAUAAAGAUGGUUUGUUCAACCAAUAAUACCCUACAUGAGCUGAGUUCAGACCGGCGUAAGCCAGGUUAGUUUCUAUCCACGAUAAAAACACCUAUCUAUAGUACGAAAGGACCUAGGUAAGGAUAAUUAUUAUAAAAUAAGAACAAAUAUAACGUUAAAUAAAUGCAUAAAUUCAUAAACUAUGUAGUGCGUUGGCAGAAUAGUGCCACCGACUUAGGAUCGGUUCAUGGGUUUUACCCACCCACUAUCUGCAACUUAGUUUAUUUAGAAUAAUCAACUUGCACUUGAUAGGAGAGACUUCUCAGUAGCGGCUCGAUGUUUUGGAAACAUUAGACCUUGAACGUCUACCUAAGAUGUUCGACUCAUC